UGCCCAUUUGUCUGUGGAAGGUUGGCUGU
Molecule: non-coding RNA, 29 nt
Filed under: Rattus norvegicus (Norway rat)
Lineage: Eukaryota; Metazoa; Chordata; Mammalia; Rodentia; Muridae
Source: RNAcentral